UACGAAGGGGGCUAGCGUUGCUCGGAAUCACUGGGCGUAAAGGGUGCGUAGGCGGGUUCUUAAGUCAGAGGUGAAAUCCUGGAGCUCAACUCCAGAACUGCCUUUGAUACUGAGAGUCUUGAGUUCGGGAGAGGUGAGUGGAACUGCGAGUGUAGAGGUGAAAUUCGUAGAUAUUCGGAAGAACACCAGUGGCGAAGGCGGCUCACUGGACUGGUAUUGACGCUGAGGUGCGAAAGCGUGGGGAGCAAACAGG
Molecule: ribosomal RNA, 253 nt
Filed under: uncultured bacterium
Lineage: Bacteria
Description: partial 16S ribosomal RNA
Rfam family: Bacterial small subunit ribosomal RNA
Source: RNAcentral